CAAGAUGACUUUCACUACAACAUUCUUAGAAAGCUCAAAAUUUGUUAAAAUGGACUUUCACCUAAAAAGUGAUGGAAGUCUCCAUGUUACGUUACAGGAGCCAAAGGCCAAAGUUAAUCAAUCUUUUAUUAUUGAAGCAGAUCGGAGUUGAGAUAGGUAGUACCUAGAUGCAUUAUCCCUGUGUGAAAAUUUCAAGCAAUCUAAUAAAUAGCCUACUUAUUGCCAAAAUUGUUUUAUUGGUUUAAGUAAGCAAAGGACCUUUUUUUAUAAAGUACAAAUUUAGUCUCUCAUAAUAUGUGCUAGGUACACACACAGUUGUAUUAGUUGGUAUGAAAAUUGUUAGUUUUAUUGUCAUACAUUCUGUAUAUGAUAAUGGCUGAUGUCCUGUCUUUCCUGUGAAACAAAAAUCCAUGUUUAAACUACCAAAGAAUUUGUGAAUUGCUUAUCAGUGAUAUAAUAAUGCAGUAAUGUUAUUGCUAAAACAUUGUUGAGAAUAGAUGAGGAGACACAAAAACACCAUCUAGCUUCUAGAUAAUGGUUAAUUGUAAAAAAAAAGAAAUUCAUUGCACACAGGUGCCUUAAUAUGCUGUAAAAACAGUAUGUUAUUAUAUGUGUUGUAAAAGAUUACUUAUUGUGGCACAGACUUACAAGGAGAGGUUGAAACUGACCAAGUGAACUGUGCCUUCAAUGUAUCAUAAAAAGUUUCCUCCAAUCCUUCAGGAACAAGUGACACAGAUUGAUAUCUUUGAUUGAUAAUGGACCCCCAUUUGUAAUUGGUUAAGAUAUUUAGACUGGUUGAAGGCAAAGUUUGAUUCUUCUCUCAUGUAAAUGGACUUCAGCUCAGCCACCUCCUGUUUUGAAAGGGUUAAUGUUGUAAAAGCUACAAGAAUGUAUUCUCCAGGUUCUUGUAAACUGCAGUGAGAAACAUAUAUGUAGCAUUUUUCUCUUGCCUCAGGAAGAGACUCUCAGCACCCUCAAUAAUACACAAGAUUUAGAUGAA
Molecule: long non-coding RNA, 1000 nt
Organism: Penaeus monodon (black tiger shrimp)
Lineage: Eukaryota; Metazoa; Arthropoda; Malacostraca; Decapoda; Penaeidae
Exons: 2
Source: RefSeq, a predicted model, not a curated record